AGUGAACGUUGGCGGUAGGCCUAACACAUGCAAGUCGAACGGCAGCACAGUAAGAGCUUGCUCUUACGGGUGGCGAGUGGCGGACGGGUGAGGAAUACAUCGGAAUCUACUUUUUCGUGGGGGAUAACGUAGGGAAACUUACGCUAAUACCGCAUACGACCUACGGGUGAAAGCAGGGGAUCUUCGGACCUUGCGCGAUUGAAUGAGCCGAUGUCGGAUUAGCUAGUUGGCGGGGUAAAGGCCCACCAAGGCGACGAUCCGUAGCUGGUCUGAGAGGAUGAUCAGCCACACUGGAACUGAGACACGGUCCAGACUCCUACGGGAGGCAGCAGUGGGGAAUAUUGGACAAUGGGCGCAAGCCUGAUCCAGCCAUACCGCGUGGGCGAAGAAGGCCUUCGGGUUGUAAAGCCCUUUUGUUGGGAAAGAAAAGCAGCAGGUUAAUACCCCGCUGUUCUGACGGUACCCAAAGAAUAAGCACCGGCUAACUUCGUG
Molecule: ribosomal RNA, 492 nt
Filed under: uncultured bacterium
Lineage: Bacteria
Description: partial 16S ribosomal RNA
Rfam family: Bacterial small subunit ribosomal RNA
Source: RNAcentral